GUCGAUCGCUGGAAACCUAGCUUGCUAGGUGGAAGGAGAGGCGAACGGGUGAGUAAUACAUAAGCAACCUGCCCACGAAGACCGGGAUAAUCCUGGGAAAUGAGGACUAAUACCGGGAUAGGUUACGAAUUCGCAUGAAUUUGUAAUUAAAGGUUAGAAACACUGGUGGAUGGGCUUAUGGUGCAUUAGCUAGUUGGUGAGGUAACGGCCCACCAAGGCGAUGAUGCAUAGCCGGGCUGAGAGGCUGAACGGCCACAUUGGGACUGAGACACGGCCCAGACUCCUACGGGAGGCAGCAGUAGGGAAUUUUCGGCAAUGGGGGAAACCCUGACCGAGCAACGCCGCGUGAGUGAUGAAGGUCUUCGGAUUGUAAAGCUCUGUUGUAAGGGAAGGAUGAAUUGGAUAGAAUCCGAUUGUGACGGUACCUUACCAGAAAGCUACGGCUAACUACGUGCCAGCAGCCGCGGUAAUACGUAGGUAGCGAGCGUUAUCCGGAAUUAUUGGGCGUAAAGGGUGCGUAGGCGGCUUGUUAAGUUUAAGGUGAAAGAAUGGGGCUCAACCCCAUAAAGCCUUAGAUACUGGCAAGCUAGAGUACUGGAGAGGGUAGUGGAAUUCCAUGUGUAGCGGUAAAAUGCGUAGAUAUAUGGAGGAACACCGGUGGCGAAGGCGGCUACCUAGACAGAGACUGACGCUGAGGCACGAAAGCGUGGGGAGCAAAUAGGAUUAGAUACCCUAGUAGUCCACGCCGUAAACGAUGAAUGCUAGAUAUCGGGGUAACUCGGUGUCGAAACUAACGCGAUAAGCAUUCCGCCUGUGGAGUAUGCACGCAAGUGUGAAACAUAAAGGAAUUGACGGGGGCCCGCACAAGCGGUGGAGUAUGUGGUUUAAUUCGACGCAACGCGAAGAACCUUACCAGGCCUUGACAUCCCUUGCAAAACUCUAGAGAUAGAGCAGAG
Molecule: ribosomal RNA, 956 nt
Filed under: uncultured bacterium
Lineage: Bacteria
Description: bacterial SSU rRNA
Rfam family: Bacterial small subunit ribosomal RNA
Source: RNAcentral